Molecule: ribosomal RNA, 501 nt
Filed under: uncultured bacterium
Lineage: Bacteria
Description: bacterial SSU rRNA
Rfam family: Bacterial small subunit ribosomal RNA
Source: RNAcentral
AUUGAACGCUGGCGGCAUGCCUUACACAUGCAAGUCGAACGGUAACGCGGGGCAACCUGGCGACGAGUGGCGAACGGGUGAGUAAUAUAUCGGAACGUGCCCAAUAGUGGGGGAUAGCCCGGCGAAAGCCGGAUUAAUACCGCAUACGACCUGAGGGUGAAAGCGGGGGAGUCGCAAGACCUCGCGCUAUUGGAGCGGCCGAUAUCAGAUUAGGUAGUUGGUGGGGUAAAGGCCUACCAAGCCUACGAUCAGUAACUGGUGUGAGAGCAUGACCAGUCACACGGGCACUGAGACACGGGCCCGACUCCUACGGGAGGCAGCAGUAAGGAAUAUUGGUCAAUGGGCGAAAGCCUGAACCAGCCAUGCCGCGUGGAGGAUGAAGGUCCUCUGGAUUGUAAACUCCUUUUAUAAAGAAGAACCCAUUUUCUAAAUGGGUUGACGGUACUUUAUGAAUAAGCACCGGCUAACUCCGUGCCAGCAGCCGCGGUAAUUACGACGACA